GACGAACGCUGGCGGCGUGCCUAAUACAUGCAAGUCGAACGAGAGCGACCGGUGCUUGCACUGGUCAAUCUAGUGGCGAACGGGUGAGUAACACGUGGGUAACCUGCCCAUCAGAGGGGGAUAACAUCCGGAAACGGAUGCUAACACCGCAUAGGUCUUCGAACCGCAUGGUUUGAAGAGGAAAAGAGGCGCAAGCUUCUGCUGAUGGAUGGACCCGCGGUGCAUUAGCUAGUUGGUGAGGUAACGGCUCACCAAGGCCGUGAUGCAUAGCCGACCUGAGAGGGUGAUCGGCCAAAUUGGGACUGAGACACGGCCCAAACUCCUACGGGAGGCAGCAGUAGGGAAUCUUCAGCAAUGGACGCAAGUCUGACGGAGCAACGCCGCGUGAGUGAAGAAGGUUUUCGGAUCGUAAAACUCUGUUGUUAGAGAAGAACAAGUGCUAGAGUAACUGUUAGCGCCUUGACGGUAUCUAAACAGAAAGCCACGGCUAACUACGUG
This 498-nucleotide ribosomal RNA is filed under the name uncultured bacterium. RNAcentral's name for it is "partial 16S ribosomal RNA". It matches the Rfam family "Bacterial small subunit ribosomal RNA", at positions 28 to 507 of the family's 1533-position model. The record is from RNAcentral.